Molecule: ribosomal RNA, 354 nt
Filed under: uncultured Thauera sp.
Lineage: Bacteria; Pseudomonadati; Pseudomonadota; Betaproteobacteria; Rhodocyclales; Zoogloeaceae
Description: bacterial SSU rRNA
Rfam family: Bacterial small subunit ribosomal RNA
Source: RNAcentral
CCAGAACACAGGUGCUGCAUGGCUGUCGUCAGCUCGUGUCGUGAGAUGUUGGGUUAAGUCCCGCAACGAGCGCAACCCUUGUCACUAGUUGCCAUCAUUUGGUUGGGCACUCUAGUGAGACUGCCGGUGACAAACCGGAGGAAGGUGGGGAUGACGUCAAGUCCUCAUGGCCCUUAUGGGUAGGGCUUCACACGUCAUACAAUGGUCGGUACAGAGGGUUGCCAAGCCGCGAGGUGGAGCCAAUCCCUUAAAGCCGAUCGUAGUCCGGAUCGUAGUCUGCAACUCGCCUACAUGAAGUCGGAAUCGCUAGUAAUCGCGGAUCAGCACGCCGCGGUGAAUACGUUCCCGGGCCUU